ACCCCAUGGAGCUUCAAACCCAACUACACCCUUAACUACCACAACCACACAACCUCUUAGGGCCCUGUAUAGUUGGUUUUAGGUUGGGGCGACCACGGAGUACAACCAAACCUCCGCAAUGAACGGGACCACUCCCUUAUCUAAGAGCCACCCCUCUAAGAAUUAAAACACUAACAUAAAAUGAUCCAUGAUCUGAUCAAUGAACCAAGUUACCCUGGGGAUAACAGCGCAAUCCAUUUCAAGAGCCCCUAUCGACAAGUGGGUUUACGACCUCNAUGUUGGAUCAGGGUAUCCUAGUGGUGCAGCAGCUACUAAUGGUUCGUUUGUUCAACGAUUAAAACCCU
This 344-nucleotide ribosomal RNA is filed under the name Mantidactylus opiparis. RNAcentral's name for it is "partial 16S ribosomal RNA". It matches the Rfam family "Bacterial large subunit ribosomal RNA", at positions 2088 to 2597 of the family's 2925-position model. The record is from RNAcentral. Lineage: Eukaryota; Metazoa; Chordata; Amphibia; Anura; Mantellidae.